Molecule: ribosomal RNA, 495 nt
Filed under: uncultured bacterium
Lineage: Bacteria
Description: partial 16S ribosomal RNA
Rfam family: Bacterial small subunit ribosomal RNA
Source: RNAcentral
AUGAACGCUGGCGGCGUGCCUAAUACCUGCAAGUCGAGCGAACAGACGAGGAGCUUGCUCCUCUGACGUUAGCGGCGGACGGGUGAGUAACACGUGGAUAACCUACCUAUAAGACUGGGAUAACUUCGGGAAACCGGAGCUAAUACCGGAUAAUAUAUUGAACCGCAUGGUUCAAUAGUGAAAGACGGUUUUGCUGUCACUUAUAGAUGGAUCCGCGCCGCAUUAGCUAGUUGGUAAGGUAACGGCUUACCAAGGCAACGAUGCGUAGCCGACCUGAGAGGGUGAUCGGCCACACUGGAACUGAGACACGGUCCAGACUCCUACGGGAGGCAGCAGUAGGGAAUCUUCCGCAAUGGGCGAAAGCCUGACGGAGCAACGCCGCGUGAGUGAUGAAGGUCUGCGGAUCGUAAAACUCUGUUAUUAGGGAAGAACAAAUGUGUAAGUAACUAUGCACGUCUUGACGGUACCUAAUCAGAAAGCCACGGCGAACUACGU